Molecule: ribosomal RNA, 1334 nt
Filed under: uncultured bacterium
Lineage: Bacteria
Description: bacterial SSU rRNA
Rfam family: Bacterial small subunit ribosomal RNA
Source: RNAcentral
CGGCGUGCUUAACACAUGCAAGUCGAACGAGAAUCAGUGGAUCAAGGAUUCGUCUGAGUGAAGCUGAGGAAAGUGGCGGACGGGUGAGUAACGCGUGAGCAAUCUGCCUUGGAGUGGGGAAUAACGGCUGGAAACAGCCGCUAAUACCGCAUGACGCGUCUGGGAGGCAUCUCUCUGGACGCCAAAGAUUUAUCGCUCUGAGAUGAGCUCGCGUCUGAUUAGCUAGUUGGCGGGGUAACGGCCCACCAAGGCGACGAUCAGUAGCCGGACUGAGAGGUUGGCCGGCCACAUUGGGACUGAGACACGGCCCAGACUCCUACGGGAGGCAGCAGUGGGGAAUAUUGGGCAAUGGGCGCAAGCCUGACCCAGCAACGCCGCGUGAAGGAAGAUGGCUUUCGGGUUGUAAACUUCUUUUCUGGGGGACGAACAAAUGACGGUACCCCAGGAAUAAGCCACGGCUAACUACGUGCCAGCAGCCGCGGUAAUACGUAGGUGGCAAGCGUUAUCCGGAUUUAUUGGGUGUAAAGGGCGUGUAGGCGGGAAUGCAAGUCAGAUGUGAAAACUCAGGGCUCAACCCUGAGCCUGCAUUUGAAACUGUGUUUCUUGAGUGCUGGAGAGGCAAUCGGAAUCCCGUGUGUAGCGGUGAAAUGCGUAGAUAUACGGAGGAACACCAGUGGCGAAGGCGGAUUGCUGGACAGUAACUGACGCUGAGGCGCGAAAGCGUGGGGAGCAAACAGGAUUAGAUACCCUGGUAGUCCACGCCGUAAACGAUGGAUACUAGGUGUGGGGGGACUGACCCCCUCCGUGCCGCAGCUAACGCAAUAAGUAUCCCACCUGGGGAGUACGAUCGCAAGGUUGAAACUCAAAGGAAUUGACGGGGGCCCGCACAAGCGGUGGAGUAUGUGGUUUAAUUCGAAGCAACGCGAAGAACCUUACCAGGGCUUGACAUCCUACUAACGAACCAGAGAUGGAUUAGGUGCCCUUCGGGGAAAGUAGAGACAGGUGGUGCAUGGUUGUCGUCAGCUCGUGUCGUGAGAUGUUGGGUUAAGUCCCGCAACGAGCGCAACCCCUAUUGUUAGUUGCUACGCAAGAGCACUCUAGCGAGACUGCCGUUGACAAAACGGAGGAAGGUGGGGACGACGUCAAAUCAUCAUGCCCCUUACGUCCUGGGCCACACACGUACUACAAUGGCGGCCAACAAAGAGAGGCAAGGCCGCGAGGUGGAGCAAAUCUCAAAAAGCCGUCCCAGUUCGGAUCGCAGGCUGCAACCCGCCUGCGUGAAGUUGGAAUCGCUAGUAAUCGCGGAUCAGCAUGCCGCGGUGAAUACGUUCCCG